AUUAAAACAAAACAAAAUAAAACUUCAGUCUCAAACUCACUGCAGGCUCUUCCCUCCUCCUGCACAGGCUAGAGCUGGGACUGAAACAUGGGUGGUGAACACUCCUCCCCUCUUCCCUGCACAUGUUGGGCACAUGUGGGCCUCCUGCAGCCCAGUGCCAGGGAGGCCAUCUGGGGGGAGAAGAGAUUCUGUUCAUGCGACAGGUUGCAUGUUGGUUAUGGUCAGUGUCCUGGCUUCGGUCUAGGCGUGGAGCUCUGUGCAAUGUUGGUGGCAUCCACUCUAUGUACAGCCGUGUGUGACCACAUGUUUCCAUAUGGCGGGGAGCUUCUGGCCCUCUGAGAAGAUUGGCAGCCCUGCCUCCUCCAUGGCUUUCCUGGGUGGGGCCUCCUAUUGCUUUGUCCAGGGCUCCCUCCCUUAAUAACCACCAGAGUUCUUUCCAUACCCUUUGAGGGCCACAGAGGACAGGAUGGGGUGGUUUCCUGGACAUACUACAUCUGAGGAUCUUCAGGCCCUACAGUCCUGGACUAUUCUAGCAGGUGAGAAAUCUCUGUACCAGGAGCAGGCAACAGUGUUUAAGAUCAAGUCCCCACAUGCCAGUGAUCCCCCCUUUCCAUUUUUUUUUUUUUUUUUUUUUUUGUGGUAAGAGCGCUGAAAAGGAACCAGAUUCUCAGGCUCCCAGAAUGCUCCCCUAAGAGCCCUGCUUGUCUCUGUGGAUGGCACCAGGUUGGCCUACAAUAGGCACACUUCUGGGGGACAAAAUGCCAUUCUCCCUGUCUUGGAGGUCCCAGUCCUCAGGUGUGGUUCAUUUGGAGCUACUCUUGGCUGUAGGAGGGGGAGGAACCCCUCUCUCCCAUGGUGGACAUGGCUUUUCCCUGCACACACAAAGCUGACCACCUCCUCUCUUAGGCCUCAUUUGUCUCCUGAUGGCUGGUUCUGCAUCUCUCAGCAAGCACAGAACUACCUUUAGGACAUGCUGUGUCUGGUGACUUUUGGAGACCUUAGCCACAAGCGCUCAAGCAACAGAUCUUCCAUUCCUUUGCUCCAGAGAGAAUAAGCGUUGGCCAAGGGGAUGUUUAUCUUUGCAGUCUUCAAGUCCACAGCCUUGCCUGGGACAGACAGUUCAUGGGAUUGAAUUACAACAGGAAGUAUGGCAGCAAAGUGGCUGCUUGUUUCCCUGUAUGCGCAGGCUCCCAGGAGGAUCUGUGACUACACUCCUUAUGAAGAGGCCUCUUUUCCUGUAAGAAGAGGCCAGAUUGAUGAACCACUUCUCUGAGCACACAGUGGAACAGACUGCAGGCCCAGCCUUCCUCUGGUGCCUGAGGAGUGGGAGGGGUUUCUAUGGUGAUGGCACGUGUCAUCCCUCCCCUCCAUCUUGCAGGGCCACUGAGGAGGUGGGAGCUUCCUGCCAUUGGUAUGCAGUUCAGAGCCCAGGCCACAGCUGGCGUUUGGUUUCCUGCACACUUGCACUGACACUGGAAGGGACAGCCUGUCGGAGGCUCUAUGGGAGACCAACCUGGAGGUAUCCAGCAGAGAUGUGCUUAAAAGGCAGCUUCAUCUUCCUAGAAAGAUCAAAAGCUAGUUGAGCACAGUGUUUCGCAUUCCUAGGUUGAAAACUGGGCAUGUAACUAGUAAAACAAGUCGUCCUUCAGUCCGGCAUUGUAGGUGGAGGCAGAGGGCUGAAAAUGGUGUGGAGAGAUGCUGAAGGGGACAGUUGGGUAAAGAGGGAGAGUGGGUACUUUGUUUAAAAUUUUGUGUAUAAGAUGACUUAAUAAGCUCUUAUUUUUGUUGUUUCAAAUCUGCACAGCCCAAUUCCCUUCAUUUGUGCAGAAAAUAUUGAGCGGUCACUAUGUGCCAGGCAUGUUCUAGGUACCAAGGAUAUAGCACUGAACGAAACAGAUAAAAAUCUCUGCCCUCAUCCUAGCUGGAAGAAACCAACUAUCUGCAAAAUAAUAGUAAGCUAUACCAUAUGCUGGAUAGUGAUAGGUGCCAUGGAAAAGAUAAAGUAGGGAAGAGGGAAUGUCCUGUAGGUGAGUGGAUGGAUGGAUGGGCUGAAGUUUUAAAUAGGUUAUGGAGGUCCUCAAUGAGAAGUUACUUUUGAAAAAGAUUUGAAGGAGGUGAGAAAGGAGGGCAAAGAACAUCCAGGGCUAGGACUCUCCAGGUGGAGGAGAGAGUUAGUGCAAAGGCCCUGAGGUAGGAAUGGAUUUGGCAUGUUUGAGGAACUGCAGAAUGGUCAGUGGGGCUGGAGCAUGGUGAGUAGUAGAGAGAGGGUUAGGAGACAAUGCCAGAGAGGUAGGCAGGCACCAAAUCACGUAGGACAUUACAGGCCAUAAAAAUGAGUUUGGAUUUUAAGUGCAGAUCCCUGGGGGACCAAAAGGUUGUUGAGAAUAGCGUAGUAUUGAGCUGGGGAGAUGGAGACUGGGGUGCUUGCAGGUCAGGUUACGGAGAAUUUGAAGUUACUGGUAGUGAUAAUGUCUUAACAGAUGACCACAGGAAUGAGUGACAGGCAGAUGGGGAACAAGCUCAUAGGAGAAUGGUCCAGUAAUUUUGAGAGCAGGGUCCUGGAAGGAAUAAACAGAGUGGUAUUAGAAUGGCACUGAGCUGGGAGCCAAAAUCUCCAAGAGUGGAAGGAAGUGACCCCAGUCUUUGCAACAAGACAGACAAAUGGAUUAUGUAGCCUGGAUGUGAGAUUCCGAGCUGGGUUUUAGAACAGAGAAAUGGAGUGUAGUCUGGAAGCAGCAGUGAGGAUCACUGGAGGCAGUGGAGGUGGAGGGGGGCACCCUCUGCCCUGAUGCUGACGGGGGGCUGGGGGAGGGUUGGCAACUGGGAGCCAAGAUUCCCUCUAGGUGUGAGGUAUGGUUGUCUUCUGCUGCUAAGAACUAUUUCUCUUAGUGAAACCUGACUGGAAGUAUCACUGCUCAAUACUAGGUUUCUUAGUCUGGAUGAAAUUGAAUGAGGAUAUUUCAUAAGUUCUUUUCCCUAGACAUGGAAUAAUAGGAAUUAAAAGUUUAUACUUGGUCUUUAGAGGCAUCUAGGGUUAAAACAAAGCCCCUCUUUACUGCUUGUAGGAUGCUGUGUCAAGGUUCAUCAUCCCCCCGAUGGUCUGCAUCCAGACCAUAGAGGAAGAAAAAGUUGACUUAGAACGUAUGCACUUACCAGGAAAAGAACAAGAAUGGAGGAAAAAAAGGAAAAAGGAAGAAAAAGCAUGUGAGAAGUCGAUAGGAGUGUUUCAGGUGGAAUGAACUCCCUGCAGAAGUGACUCUCAGGAAGGCAGGGCGCUUCGUUCAUUUGCCCUAUAGAUGGCAGUGGUUCUGCAAGAGCGUCUGGAGAUCCCAGGGGUCCCCGGAGCCCUUUCAGGGGUGCAUGAGAGGUCAAGAGUAUUUCAGUAAUAAUACUAAGAUGUUAUUGCCCUUUGUAUUCUCUUCUCUCACAAGUGGACAGUGGAGUUUUGCAGAAGCUAAUUGAAGUGCGAUAUCCCAGCAGACUGAACACAGAAGCAGAUAGAGAAACUAGCUGUCCUUUUAGGGCCAGAUAGUAAAGAAAUCCAUAAGAAUGUAAAACAAUGUCAGUCUUCUCACUAAAUGGUUUUUUUAAAUCUUGGAAAAUAGAGUUAUUUUUCACAAAAAUAUAUUAACAUUAGGAAGGCUAUUGCAGUGUUUAAAUCAAUUAGUAAAUAUUUUUGAAAUUCCCAUUUUACUUUCUCAGGCAAUAAAUAUUGAUAGGCAUAGUCCUUAUAAACAAAAGCUCCUUGUGGUCCUUAUUACUUUUUAAGCAUACAGGAAUCCUGAGACCAAACAGUUUGAAAACUAGUGGUUUAGUAGAUAAGAGACCAGGCUCUGGAGUUAGUGUGGUUGGGUGUGAGCCCAGGUUUUGUGAUCUUAGGCAAGUUACAGAGUUGGUUUUCUUAUCUGUAAAGUAGGCUAUCUCAUACAGUUAUUAUGAACAACAAUCUAUUAACAACACUUUGCACAGUGUUGGGCACAGAAUGAUCAUUUCAUAAGUGUUUACUAUUUCAUUAUAUAACUGACCAACUAUCUAUUUUAUGCAUAACUGUGUUAAGUCCUGUGAAGGAUGUAAAAUGCCUGAGUUUUGGCUCUGACUCUGGAGCGGUUGCCCCUCAAUAGGGGAGAGAUUUCCAGAUUUGUGGUUGGCAUCUUUGGUUUAAAUUUCCAGCUCUACGCUUGACUAAUGACCUGACCUUGAGUGAACCACUUCAUGUGGGGUAAAGUCAGAUAAUAAAGUCAUCCAUAAUGGUCCACUGAGGAGAGAGUAAGUUCCCACUUGUAUCUUUCAGGCAUUACUGCGUGGUUCAGUUUAACACUUGUCCUUCUUCUUAAUAAUUAUGCUAAAUCUCUCUGUUUUCCAUUUCCAGAAUGCACUUUUCCUCCUAUGCCACUAGAGGGCACCCCAUGCCUUCUUAUUUAUUCAUUUUCUGCUUUCUCUAAUUUGAAAAUCUUUUAGCUGAAUUGGAUGGCAAGAGCAGAUACUGUGUCAGCAUGGUGAAUGUGUAAGUUCUAUCUGCAAAUCCUGACACUGUUUUUAUCAGUCAGUAUACAUUUACUGACACGUCUUGAAAUAAAACUGGGGGAAAGGGGUUGGUGGAAGGGAUGCUGUCGGUUAUCCCCACCAUCCCCUGACAUCGCCGAGCAUCUACUCCCUGCCAGGAUCAUGCUAAGUGCUUCAUGUGAAUUGUCUAGUGGAAUCUCAAGAGCAGCACCAAGGGGCAUUUUUAAUAGCUGGGGAACCAGGCUCUGAUUGGUUAGGUAACUUGUACAAAGUCCAUUGUGGUGGAUCUAGUUCAAGUCCUGGUACUCUGGAAAAGGGAGUGUUUACAGUGAUCCUGGAUGAAGAGGCUCCAGAGAAGUGUGUGCUGAUUGCAGAGGAGGGCGAGAGCUGUGAGCUGGAGGGAGGGAGGCCUGGGCCUCGUGGGAGGCACGAUUUGGACAGAAGACCAGAGAGCAUUUGGUUAGGCAAGGGAAUAACACUUGGUACAAUGAAAUCUGCCUUAGGGGCUCCUCAGCCUUGGCUGUAAGUAAGCCCUCAAAGUAGGGAGCAAGUCUUAGUUUUCUAGGACAGUAGUUCUCAGUCGUAGCAGACAUAAAACCCCUUUUACUGUCCUGAAGUGAAAUUCAAAGACAGUUACAGAUCUAUGUUUACAUGUGUGCUUACCCAUAAUACACAGGAAAGGACCGCAUAACAAUUGUCAGGCCUGCCUGUGCGCAUACACACUAAAGCUGGUGACCCAGCUUUCCAAGCUGUCCACCAGGGGGCGGCACACCUCUUUCGUUGCUGUAAACAGCUCCGUCCCUGUCCUCGAGACUCCUCCCAAGGUGGCCUAAUAGUUUCCCUGAGGGCCCGUGAGUGAUGAGGGCGGGGUUAUAAAGACAGGAAGUCAGAGUAUGGAGCUGAAGCCCAACGUAGCAUGAUUUCUGGUCCCGUGAACACACCAUGAUUAGAAUCCUCCUCUGCUUUAAAAUUGUAGUUAUUGUCAUUUGCUUAAAAAGUGAUGAUGAAGUAACGUGCACUUUCAUUGAAAUUUUCGAGGUUACUUUGCAUCAUAGCAAGCGGCCAAUAUUCAUUUAAUGUUUUCCUUAAAUUGACUUAAUUUUUCUUUAACCUAGAUACAUAUAUUUAAAUGGAAACUUUAAAGUAUAAAUGGAAAACUUGUAUCACCUAGCAUAAUUAUAGGGUAACCUAUAAAAAACCAAAUACAACAAUGUUGCCACAUUCUUGCUGAUUCUUAUACUGUUUCCCACCAAAGGCCCCUCUCUCUGUAAAAAGGGAGUUUAACAAGUGUUGAAGAACUGUUGCAGACAUAUUCACACACUGAAUGGACAGAGUCUCCUUAAUCAGGACUAACAGAGGAGUCUAGGGAUAUUUUUCUCAGUAAGAGAACCCACUGCAUUCAUUCAUUCAUUCAUUCAUUCAUUCAUUCAUUGAUCAUUUACUUUGAUGGAGAGAGGGCAGUGCAGAGCCUGAGGUGGGGCUCUAACUUAUGAACCAUGAGAUCAUGACCUGAGCCAAAGUCAGACAUUCAACUGACUGAGCCACCCAGCUGCCCUGAGAAUCCACAUUAGUUAAAGCUUUGUCUGUGUGCCCCUAAAAUCCCCCCCCCCCACACACACACAUAUAACAGUGGACAAAAUGUCUCCCACUCUGGGGCCCUGGUUUGGCAGGUCAAGGGACCACCUGCUAGUUGUGUGUCCCACACAUGUCACUUAUUCCCUCUGAUUCUUUAUGUCCUCACCUGUAAUAUAAGAAGAUUAGAAGAAACCUCUGAAGUUCUUCAGGGCCAAUAGUUGAAGACUCUCUGAAGCCCUAUUUUCACUGGAAGACCUAGGACUUAAGGAAGGCAUCCUUCCAUUUUGUGUUUAGAACUUUUGAUGAAGAGCCCUGGAGAAAGUCAAGGAUUCUCACAAACCCCAACCAGCACCCCCUCUCCUGAGAGGCAAUUUAGCCUAACAUAGCAGAGCAGCUAAGAGCUGAGACUCUGGAGUCCACGAGACCUGGAUAUAAAUCCUUGCUUUGCCUCUUCCUGGUUUUGUGACUUUAGCCAAGUUACCUCUUUGGCUUUACUUCUGUAUCUAUAAAAUAGGGAUAGUAAUAGUAUUUAUCUUUAGUGUGAAGAUGAAAUUAUAAUAUGUAUGUCAGGUACUUAGUACAGUAUCUGGCCCAUAUGUUAGCAGUUAGUCGUGUUUGUUGGGGUAAUUCCUAUGAUUUUGUGAAAAAGGAAUCGGUAAACUCUAGAAACAAGCCAUUGGGGGUUGCUGUUUGGGAGCCCUGUUCCCAAUAUUUUUAAGCUGAUAAAUGAAUAUCAUAGGCACCCAAGAAAGGAAGGCCUUGUCUGAGAAAGGUGAAUGUGAAUGUACGAGGUUGUCCCACCCACACAUGGCCUUGAUGGUAAUAUGGGGGCCAAGUAUAUCUGUGUGGGUUUAAGAUUUAAAAAAAAAAUUAAAAACAUUAUUUUUCCUUGCUUUAAAGCACUAGCUGGGUGACUUGUGACUUUCCAGCCGACAGGUUUCCUGUGUCUCUGGCCCCUGGGUGUAGGUACAUGCAAGUGUGUGAACAGGAGAGUCGGGGGAACAGUAGUGGGGCACGAUUUAUCCCUGGUGGCCCUUGAUGUGCCCUACCACCAAGGCAGGCCUGUUCUAGGCCAGGUUGGGGUGGGCAAGGUGACUGGGGCACUGGGAGCCUGGUGUCUGGAACACCAGCACUGCUCAUGCUUCCUGCCACUUCUGGUACAUUCCAGACCAGGUGGAAUUCUCUUACUGAAGACACCUCGUUGGCAUGACCAUGUGAAUGCUACCUAAAUGCUACCUAAAGAGAGAUUUCUGUUAUUUAAGCUGUGGACCUGGAUUUUCAUUCUGACUUGACCACUAAUGAGUUCUGUGACCUUUCUGAACAUUUCUGUUUCUUCCUUUUUUUAUUUGUAAAAUGAAAGAUCAGGUCAUACCAGUGGUUUUAGAGUUAUAAUUUAUGUGUGUGUAUGGUAGGUAGGUCACAGAACACUUAGACAAGCUGAUAAUUAGACUUUCUCUACAAAGAAUGUAUGUCCCCACACAUUUUAUAUAAAAUUCAGGAUGUUUUAAGACUCCCCUGGAAACCCACCCUUGGAUUCCAGCUUGCAAGCCAUUUUGUGCUUCAUUCAUCUUACAAGCUUCUGUGAAGCCCAUGCCUUCCAAGUUGAUUUCCCUACUGAGCCCAAACCAAAUGGAGAAUCUGUCCAUUUGUAAACAAGUGCUUAGCGCAUUCUCCCCUCCAGUCCAGCCAGCCGCAGCUCAGCAGGGCUGUGAAGAGAUGUGCCACCAGGGCCUUUGCACAUGCUAUGCAGGUUAUCCCCUGCACAAGGUGUCCCCAGCUGAUGGCCAAGCCUUUUCCUAAUUCACACAAAAGUGGGACAUGGGCCAGCAGCAGAUUAUGCAACGUGUAAUUGUGCACCAAAAUAUAAGAUGCAGCAGGAGACUUUCCACCUCAGGGCUCGCUCUCCCUUUGUGGGCACAGUAGACAGUAUUAAUUAGCGGCUGGAGAGAAGGCUAGCCCAAUAUACACUUAAAGAAAACUCAGGCAAGACUGAGCUCCUUGAAUUAUGACUCUUGUGGAAAGUAACUGGAUUCAUUGGAAUUCUCAGUUGCAGGUAAUGGAAACCAAUUCGCUGACUUGAGCAGAAAAGGAAUUUAUUGAAAGCAUGUCAGGUGGGUCACAGAAAUGUCAGCAAAGCUACAGCCCAGGCACAAGAUAAAGGGCAGUGACAAGGGAGGUCAGGUGUCUGUCACAACAGCAGUCUGUGUGAUGACACAGCCCCAGUCUGGCAUAGAUACCAGGCUUAUGCUGCUGCCACAGGGAUGAUGGAGUGAAAGGUGUCACCACUCCAGCUAAAAUGGAUUCUCUAGGGCCUUGUUUCACUGCAUAUGCACAUAUAAUUGGUGAACCUGGGUCACGUGUUUAACCCUCCCAGCUGCAAGGUACACUGGAAAAGUGAAUGACUGACAUUUCCCAGUCUGUAGAGGGUGUGCUCUCUGCCUCCCACCAAGACCCUGAAGGGGGAGAGGUCCCCUCCAAGUAAUUGAAGGCAGCUCUCUGAAAUCAACAGACAUUCUGCAGAAACAGAAACCAGCCAGAGCUAGCUUCAGUAAAAAGGACUCUUAGAGGCUACAGUGUGUUUCAUGGCACCAAGGGCAGGAGGGAAGCCGGACUUCUGGAAUGGCCUGGAACCAGGUGCUGAGAACUCUCUGGCCAAGGCUUUCAUUUCGGUAGAAAGCAAGCGAACAAGUUGCUUUCUGAUGGUGAGAACCACAAACUGAGGGGCAUUCUACAACCAAACAAAAGUAAACAACAAAGACAACCCAACUGGCCUGUAGUCUUCAAAAAUGUCAAGGUCACGAAAGACAAAGAAGGACUGAGGAAGAGGUUGCACAUUAAAGAGCUGUGGCGAUCGAGCGCAUUGUGUGGUCCCGGACCAGUAUUUUUUUUUUUUUUAAAUGAACUUCUUUGUUGGCUUAUUAGCUAUAACUGUAUGUGUGUUUGUGUAUGUGUUCUUUUUUAGUGUUUGCUUUAGAAUUUAUAGUAUACACGUUUAGCUCAUUGCACUCCACUUUGAGGUAUUAUAUCACUUGAUACUUCAUGUAUGGUGUAAGAACCUUGGAUAGUGUACUUGUGUUUCUUCCCCUUCCAGCCUUUUGUGCUAUUGCUGUCAUACAUUUGUACUUCUAAUAUGUUAUAAACCCCA
Felis catus (domestic cat) is the source of this 9223-nucleotide long non-coding RNA. RefSeq lists it as uncharacterized. The transcript is spliced from 3 exons. Lineage: Eukaryota; Metazoa; Chordata; Mammalia; Carnivora; Felidae. The record is from RefSeq and is a predicted model, not a curated record.